Long non-coding RNA from Monodelphis domestica (gray short-tailed opossum), 542 nucleotides. RefSeq lists it as uncharacterized. The record is from RefSeq and is a predicted model, not a curated record. Lineage: Eukaryota; Metazoa; Chordata; Mammalia; Didelphimorphia; Didelphidae.
UCACAGAGGCGGGCUCCAGUGACGUCAGGGGCCAGAGGGUAUAUCAUCAGGAGUUAGCCUGCCCUGGCUCAUAUCUGCUCCCCUCCCGACUCCUAGAGUUUUGGGGAGCUGGAGUACAUAUCUUGAGUUCCAAAGAUGCCAAGGGUCCACACCAACUUCCACUGGAGGCUCAGGCGCCGUAAGAAGUCCAGAAAGCGCUCAAGAAUAGUCCGCCCUGAGAAUCCCGGGCCGGCACCCAAGGUCUGCCGGAUUUUGCCAAUCAGGAGAAGAGUGGCCCUCCCUCCACCUGCAGAGGUGAGCAUCAUGGACAUCACUAAGAUCGUCUCCCUGCUGCAGAUAUCGUAAAAAGACCAUGAGGGAGAAGCCAGAUGAAAUUGUUAAAAUGCCACUAAUUCAGGAUAACAACUUUACCAGGAGCGCCAUAAUUCCAGCAGCAGCAGCCUCAGAGGCUGAUCAUAAUCCACUAGUGAAGAGACUGAUGUUAGUAGAAUAAAACAAUCCCAGACAAUAAAAUUGUGGCGUACCUUAGAACUCAAAUCUGA